Lates calcarifer (barramundi perch) is the source of this 1049-nucleotide long non-coding RNA. RefSeq lists it as uncharacterized. The transcript is spliced from 3 exons. Lineage: Eukaryota; Metazoa; Chordata; Actinopteri; Centropomidae. The record is from RefSeq and is a predicted model, not a curated record.
AUCAAAGUUCUUGUUGACAAUAUGGAGCAGCUCUGACUCUGUUUUCUGGGAGGAACCAUAGGUGAACAAGGAGAUUGACAGAGGAUGGGCCACUCCAAUAGCAUAGGACACCUGUAAACACGCCCAGACAGUUUGGCUUUGACCAGAGACUUGGCCACCCAGCGAGCAGCAUAAGCAGCCGAGCGGUCGACCUUUGAGAAGUCUUUGCCAGAGAAAGCUCCGCCACCGUGAGCUCCCCAACCUCCGUAUGUGUCUACAAUGAUCUUCCUGCCUGUCACACCAGCAUCACCCUGGACCGCCUUCUGUUCCUCCAGAGAGAUGCAGUCAUCGUGCUGGACAGAGAUCACGAUGGUGUGAACUCUCUUGGGGAUCACGGCUCCGUCCUUCUGGUCAUAAUGUACUGUCACCUGUGGGAUAGAGCAGAAGUCAACAGUUGGUACACAACGGUGGAAUUUGUUAUAAUUUCUCAUUUGAUAUUGAGUUCUCAUUUAUCUGAUUUCCUGCUGUUAUAGUGACCCAAAGUUGCCCAUGGGAUGAUUCAAGUUUCUUAUUAUUGGAUCUGUUUUCUUGGGCAGACCCUGACAUAAAACUAAAAUGAAAUUUGAUAUUUGAUAUCCUCUAGCAUCUUAGAAAAAAGUGUCUGUAAUAUCUGAAAGAGCCUAUGAUUUAUGAAGCUGCUGCUGGCCCCUUUUCCUACUGUUGCGACCAGAUAAUUUCAUUCAUGAAUAUUUAUUUGGUGUAGAAAAAACAUGUGCUCAAUCCUAUCUUGGAUACAUCUAAAGCUCUAUGUUCAUGUUGGUUUGAAGUCUGACCUGCUCUAUUUUGCCUGAUGUUAUAACAGCCUAUAUUUGAAGUUGGACAAAAGUACAUGAGAGACUUUGUGUCAGUGGCUAACUGCCUCCAAAUCAGUCAAAAGUCUAUUAUUUCAACACAGACAGCUUUAUCUUAAGUACUUGCAGUAGCCACCGUUGAUCCGAUUUUGUCUGCUGGCUCCAAAACUAAAUUUCUUGGAGGACACCCAGAGUAGAAACAAUAAACCAAUUCACCAA